AAAUGAAGGGGUGCGCUGUCCGCACCAUAAGCCCCGUUGACGUUAAAUGCCCGCUUCCUCAUUCCCCGCGCAAAAAUACUUAAUAGCACACUCCUCCAGUUUUACUUCUUCCUACGAGUGCGAGUGGGGAUGCGCUUCGCUUUUCAGGACACUAGUUUGUUCGUUCCUUCACCCUCACCUUCAUUCCUUCGCCUCCUUCACUGUCACUCUUCGUUACAUUCAUUUCUUUGAGCUGUUCGACGAAAUGCCGAAGAGAUGGUUUUGUUUAUGGCGACUUCGAGCCAUUUCCUGUCAUCGUCUCAUCCCAUCGGAUAUUGCCCCGACUUCCCCUCUUUGUCUUUCUUGAACAAUCCGAGAAGACGGUUACAUUGUGUUUCUUUUGGUCUUCCUCCGGCUAAGGAAUGCGGCUCUAUGUUGUCUUCUGGUUUGGAAAGGAGGAGUUUGGGGAUUCCUGUUCUCUUGUUCCAGAGGAACUAUCGUUCUGGUUCAGUCAAGCCGUGCAAGAGUUGGGAGACUGAGGGGGAUUUUGCUCUAGAGGCAGAGAUUUUGGAGUUCAUGCGGAAAUCUGAUAAUCCUUCUGUUUUUCCGACCAAGAAAGAGUUGAUUGAUGCUGGGAGAAUGGACUUGGUGGAGGCCAUUGGCAAGCGAGGCGGUUGGCUCGCAUUGGGCUGGGACUUAGAGGAGGAGGAGGCAGAGAUGCUUCAAGAGGAUGAGUUUCAGGGUUCAGUUUCUUUAACGGCAAAAGAAGUUGAUGAUGGUUCAAUUCAUAGGGAUAUUAGAAAAAGCUUGAAACAGAGGUCUGACGGAAGUAAUGAGAGUCUUGCUGUCGAUGGCCUCGAGGUUGGCCUCUCCGAGGUUGUACCCUCCUCCACCCCUCCUCCUUGUCUAGCUACAGAUACUGAUGGAUCACCGCAAAUGGUGGCUGGAGUGGAGGCAGGGAUCGAGGGUAUUCUGAGUCGCCUGGAGAAAGAGAGAAGUCUGCGCUUUGGUGUUGGCUCUAGAGCAAAAGAAAAUCGUAGCAUUUCUGACUUCAGGAAUGGGGAAGAAGACGACUGGCAACCUAAAGUCUCAGCAGAUGUAGUUACUAGCCUUGGAAGAAGCAGCAGAUCUAAAUAUUUGAGCACCAGUAAGGAGUUUCUAGGUGAUGCCCAUGAUGUUCAUUUUCAGAAUAGAUCUAUCCUAAAUGCUGAUGGCAUAAGAAGCUCAUUUAAGCCUGAAAUGUGGAGAAAAUGGAGCACUCAGAGGGCAGCAUUUUCAAAUGCUGAAUUUGAAGCCUCUGAUGUUGUUCCCAGUGAAAGUAGAGUGGAGAAGGUAGAGGAUAGUAUGGAAGAUGAGAUGUUCACAAAAGAGAAGGAUGAAAAUGAUACUAAUUAUGUACCAAAAGGUCCAGUUUUUGGUGAUAAAACGAAUGAACCUAAUCACAUACGAUCUCGCCUUCAGAACCUGGAGGCUGAGCUUGGUUCUGUACUUGACUUGUUGAGGUCAAGAGCCGAUGCAUUGCAUAAGGGUCAUGAAAGCUCUUUGGAGGAGUUACAGAGGCUGUCUGAUGAUUGGGAAUUCCAGGAAACUACAAUCAUGAAAGCUCAAGACAAGCUGCGGUCUACCCGUGCAAAUUUAGUAGUACUAGAAGGCAAGAUAGCAUUAGCGAUCAGUGAAGCACAAAAAAUAGUCGAAGAGAAACAGAGGAGGAUUGAUGGUGCUCAAAGCGCUCUACGCCUUCUCCGGACUGUAUGCAUAAUCUGGCCUAUGCCAGCCUCUGAAGUUCUAUUAGCUGGGUCAUUUGAUGGUUGGGCUAGUCAGAGAAGGAUGGAGAGUUCAAGUGGAGGCAUAUUUUCAUUGUGUCUGAAGUUGUAUCCUGGUAGAUACGAGUUCAAGUUUAUUGUGGAUGGUGUGUGGAAGACUGAUCCCCUGCGUCCUAUUGUACGUAGCAACGGAUAUGAAAAUAAUCUCCUUAUUGUCUCGUAAUAAAUGCGAAUAAUGGAAGUCGAGCAAUACAUCUUCUCUUGGUCGCAUCAUCUCACAAAGGCACAUGGUGAACAAUUUAUCGAAUCGAGUGUAAACCUGGAGUACCAUGAGUGGUUGGUUGAUCAGAAGAGCAAAAAUUGAUUCAGCCAAGCCUUGUCUCAGCAUCUAUAAAUGUCAUGUCUCUGCAAGUAUUCAUUUAUACCAUUUGUUAUCACUGAUCAGUCUCAUUCAUAUAUCUUCCCCAUAGUAAAGAUGAAGUAUCCCUACCAAUUAUGGUGCUCAUUGGAUGGACUUGGCUUAGCAUGUAGAAUGUUGUGGAUACCACUAAUACAAUUUACUGAAGAAUACAUUUCCAAGAGAACUGUAAACAA
Molecule: RNA transcript, 2336 nt
Organism: Macadamia integrifolia
Lineage: Eukaryota; Viridiplantae; Streptophyta; Magnoliopsida; Proteales; Proteaceae
Gene name: protein PTST homolog 2, chloroplastic-like
Exons: 9
Source: RefSeq, a predicted model, not a curated record